UAUACACUGCAUGCCGAAAGUUCCACAAACUCUUUCGAAUGGUCACCCAUUCAAAGUAUUUCCCUAAGAAUAGUGAAGUUAUUUUUGUAGGAGAGAGUGUUCUUUUGUCCCAAUUGUGUUCUUGGAUCUGGGCCGUUUUGAACGCCCCUGUGCGGGCACAACUAGCUAUGCCCGGCAUGCUACUCUGGUCCAGCAACAAAAAGAAAACCUGACAAUUAUGCAAAACCACGAUGGAGUGUAAAUCCGGUCCAUCGGUACCAUUCAAAGUGUACCAUUCAUAGAGCAUGCGCCCCGUAAUCCUUUAGUCAAGUCGAGAAAUGUUCGGCCAGCGCCCAAGAAUGAAAUAAACCCGGCCAACUGCUAGUAGUGCCACUAGAUACUGCGGGGCUGCGCACCUACUGUAAUGUAAUCGCCUCUGUAAUGUAAUCACAGAUUUCUUAGACCGCGUUUUCUGAUCUGGUGCGGGGAUCUCUUUACAUUGCGCACCGCGUACCCCAUUGGCCAGGGGCAUUCAUCGUUACUGGGGGUUUCGCAUUACACCAGUCUACUGACCAAUGGAAAUGUGACCGAAAAAAGGGGCCAGCCUUGCGUAGUCCAGCUCAGGAAUGCUUGAACCAGGGGUCAGAUUGUGUGGGUAGGGCCGGCCAGCAUGGCCAGUCAGUGUGAAGAUUUGGGAAACCUUGACAAAGUUAGUGGAUAGAAUUUGAGGUCUUCCGUGGUACAUGUUUCGACUCCGUACGCCAAGCUCAGGAUAUAACAAUGUUCAAGUCCGAGUUCAAACUAGCUGGACCAGGGAUGUCGUCCAAAGUGGUUGACUUAAACAUAGCUGCACCGCUUGCGACAGAUGAAACAGAGAACAUGGACUUGGAUGCUGAUAUUGACGCUGGUAAGUGCCUAUCAACAGAAAGUUAAUCGAUUUAGUGCCUUCUAUAAGCCAGGUCAACUGUAGAAAGUUCGUAAGGAAAAACUGGUGUGGAAGUUCUUGAACUGAAAAUAUGAGGAUUAUGUAUUUUUAUUUCAGACGUCUUUAAGCGUAAGCUUUCAGUUGUUAUACUGCCGGAAAAAAAAUUGCAAGAUUUCAAUUUGAAUCAUGGUUAGGAAACUUUUAAAAAUCCGCUAGA
Patiria miniata (bat star) is the source of this 1121-nucleotide RNA transcript. RefSeq lists it as uncharacterized. NCBI's taxonomy places the organism in Eukaryota, Metazoa, Echinodermata, Asteroidea, Valvatida, Asterinidae. The transcript is spliced from 2 exons. The record is from RefSeq and is a predicted model, not a curated record.